This 1705-nucleotide ribosomal RNA is filed under the name Triticum aestivum (bread wheat). RNAcentral describes it as "partial small subunit ribosomal RNA". The record is from RNAcentral. Lineage: Eukaryota; Viridiplantae; Streptophyta; Magnoliopsida; Poales; Poaceae.
GGUGGUUCCUUUCAUCUCCCUCCACCAAUUCCUUUCAUCUCCCUCCACCAAUAAAUCUCUAGGGUAGUCUUCCAAUUCUUCUCCUCCCCUCUUUAUUUAUGCCAUACUUCCCAUGUUGCACCGCCGCCGGCCAAACCUUCUCUGGUCGUGAACACUAAGACCUACACGCUGCCUUCCUCCGGGAGCCCCUGGAGUGCCGCGAGCCUGGACAUGCUGGCCCAAACCAGGCGCCAUGGCGUCGAACCUACCUCCCGGGGAACCAGACGUGCCACCGUCAGCGUCGUCCUUCAACCCCACAUGCGUAGAUUGAAAAGUUCAUCAGAAUAUUGCACGGGAGGUUCUAUCAUCCACCAUCCAGAUUUUUUAGAGUUUGGUUGGUCUGCUUGGAUAGGGGUUUAGGAGGUGCUUUCAGGUAGAGCUAAAGACUUUGUAAUGUGCAAUUUAGCACCUUCAUAGUAGUAUUUGUAAGAUUUUUUAUGAUAAAAAAUAAUGUAUUUUCGAAAGAUUUAUGACUGAAGUUUUCCUUUCAUUUUGGUUACACAUUCUUUGCAGUUCUCUCCCUCUCUCUCUCUCUCUCUCUCUCUCUCUCUCUGUGUGUGUGUAUGUGAUUACACAUGACUUGAUGGUGAUUAGUCUGAAAUAUUUGUGAAGCGAGGCUAUGUCUACAGGUUUUGCGGUUCUUUGUAGACAUGCCCAAGGUUACUUUAGGAUUUCUUGGUGGAUUCCAUUCUAAAUCCUCUUUGUUAAAAUAAUAUAUAAGCUAAUGUCAGUUUUUUUUUUUUUUGCUUUCACCCACCUGAUAGAAGACACGCAAUAGGAACAUAGAAGCAUGUGUAGUAUCGAAUUUGCAGUUGGAUAUAGUACUUUUAUCUUAACCUUUUUAAAUUCAAGAAUAACUUAUUUCUCCCUGAGUGCAUUUUAUCAUGCUAUGUUCCCUUGCUAUUUCUCCUACAUUGUUUGACUACCUAGCUCUAAAAAGUCAGUAUUGACUCAAUUUUCCAGGGCUGGGUUAGUAUCCUAAUAUUUUGAACAAGAGGUCUGUGAAUAGUUUUGAUACGCUACAUUGUAAAGUUUUCGUUUGAGGUCAAGCUUAUUUUUGCUUUUGAUUCCAACAGAGUACACAACACAAUUUAUUAUUUUCUGACUCAUUCAUUGUUUAUGCAGAUCUAGAUAACUUUGGUACGGAGUGUUGUGUUUAUAUUAAGUUGAUUUUCAGUGAUGUUUGAAAAUUUCCACAAACACGAUUCUUUGGUUUCCAGUGGCCAUUUUAAGAAGAUGAUCUAUUCAUGCUUUUAAAUUUGUCGAUUCAAUCCACCAACUAAAUAAGUAGCUGGCGUACACUGUAUGUUGUUAGCAAACCAUCAGCAAAGCCUCGGAUAUUGUGCCUUGGCCAGUAAGCUUGCUCCAACCAAGAAUAUGAAGAGGCAGACACGUGAGACAUCUAAGGGGAAACUGUGGGCAUGGUUUGCUUGUGAGCUGUGUUUAAUUUGCGAUGUAUAGUUGUAUGUGAUGUAACCAACCUUAAUAUCCGCAAGUGGCACUUUUAGUUUCCCUUCUUUUUGCUGAUGAGUUUCAUUUUCAAUGGAAAAUAGAACUGAGCAGUUCCUCCCUAUUCUAAAAACCUGUUUGUUCUGUUAGAAAAUUAUUCUUCUAGAAGAAGUGAGCAUCACACAUAGUUGUCCAAUGGAAGUUUCCAAGUUUUCUU